Molecule: ribosomal RNA, 253 nt
Filed under: uncultured bacterium
Lineage: Bacteria
Description: partial 16S ribosomal RNA
Rfam family: Bacterial small subunit ribosomal RNA
Source: RNAcentral
UACAGAGGUCUCAAGCGUUGUUCGGAUUCAUUGGGCGUAAAGGGUGCGUAGGCGGCGCGGUAAGUCGGGUGUGAAAUCUCGGAGCUUAACUCCGAAACUGCAUUCGAUACUGCCGUGCUUGAGGACUGGAGAGGAGACUGGAAUUUACGGUGUAGCGGUGAAAUGCGUGGAUAUCAAGAGGAACACUCGUGGCGAAAGCGAGCUACUGGACAACUCCUGACGCUGAGGCUCGAAGGCUAGGGUAGCGAAAGGG